This is a non-coding RNA of Electrophorus electricus (electric eel), 1458 nucleotides long. NCBI's taxonomy places the organism in Eukaryota, Metazoa, Chordata, Actinopteri, Gymnotiformes, Gymnotidae. The record is from RefSeq and is a predicted model, not a curated record.
CGCAAUUUGGCUUCAGGAACUUUGUAAAAGCAAUGGGGGAGAAACAACCACCAUCAAUGGAAAACUGCUCAUCCCUUCUUUGCCAACCGCCUAUACGGCAAAGGCAAAUAAAAAGAUGACAAAAAAAUUAGAUUGAGCCAGAGAUAACAUCAAAGCGGCUUUUCAGAAAAAAAAGCAAUGUUGACAUUUAACAACGCGCACCACAGCGUCCUCUGCUGGGAAAGGCUUUGGAGGUGUGGCUGGACAGAGCGAGAGGGGCAGGAGACUCAUUUUAAUUUUCAAGCUAAAUCCGCUCUUCUCAAGCUUAGACUGUAUUUACCCACUGUAGCUUUAAGAAAGAUGCGACUUGUGCGAGCGCAGUUAACUUCCUGAAAAGAUGCUAGAUAGUGGACACACAAUAAAGCUUUGAUUUAUGUUUAUUUGCAUAUUGCAGCUCUCUGUAAUAUUGGAACUGCAAAGGCUUAUACUAUUGCGAGAAUGAUAACAUUGUGUAACCCUAGUUAAAUCCCUUCUGAAGAAGUAAAGAAAUAAAGACAUCUGCAGCACAGGAUUAGCAUCACAUCAACAGAAAGUGAUGAUGUUUUUAGACAACAUGCCAGGAUUCCAUUAUCUUUAUUAGAAUACAUUAGACAUGCUGACUUUCUGUCUUCCAAAUAUUUGGAUUUCUGGCACUGGUAAAUCUGUUCAGAACAGGUUUUGUCUGAAAUGGAUCGAACUACUUUUAGCGCAAAGCAGUCUGCAACCUCUUUACUGUGUCUACAGGGAGCUGAAACAAGCAUUUUUGAUUAGAGGGUUUGUAUAAAAAUCCAUUGCUUAAUCAGUUUCACAUACUUCACAUCUGAUCCUUUAAAUCAAAGCAAUAACAUCUUCAAAUAUUCUGUCAGUUCCCACUAGUCAGGUUUCCUUUGUUUCAGGACUACAUGUAUUCUGGAUCAAAUACAAGAGGACUUAAGUUGAACUGGACAUAAAACUUGGUGUCUGUUUAUUACAGAAAAUAAAACUAGUAGUUUUCUAACAGAUUUUUAAACACUGACCCAAACCAUAAUAGGUCACAAGAUUUGUUGUAGUCAGUACUGUAAAAGGUACAGGUUUUCAUGUAUACCUUUAAUCAUACACUUUUUGGCUUUCAGCAAGGCCAAAAUGUUUUUCUGUCAAAAUUACUCCACAUUUUCAUACUAGAGCUGGUAUGUACAUGCAACAUUCUCAAUGCCAAUUCAACAUUCCUACAGCCACCUACCCCAUCCACUUAAACAGUCAAAGGUGGUUUCUGGAUACCAAAAAGGAAAUAAACCAAAAACACAUAGAAUCACACAUUUUGCACUGAAUGAUCCAAACGGAACACUUUAUUAAUUUCACAUAAACAUGGGCAACCAGCCAGAGGAGCUUUUCUGGGAUAGAUUUACAGGGUGGGAGAGGGAACUGGGCACAUCAUGUGGAGGACCAGUCAGUGAGCAGUUU